CAGCCGCCACGGGAAUACGAAGGGUGCAAGCGUUACUCGGAAUUACUGGGCGUAAAGCGUGCGUAGGUGGUGGUUUAAGUCCGUUGUGAAAGCCCUGGGCUCAACCUGGGAAUUGCAGUGGAUACUGGAUCACUAGAGUGUGGUAGAGGAUAGUGGAAUUUCCGGUGUAGCAGUGAAAUGCGUAGAGAUCGGAAGGAACAUCUGUGGCGAAGGCGACUAUCUGGGCGAACACUGACACUGAGGCACGAAAGCGUGGGGAGCAAACAGGAUUAGAUACCCGCGUAGUCCCUGUCUCUUAUAC
RNAcentral lists this ribosomal RNA (301 nucleotides) under uncultured bacterium. RNAcentral describes it as "partial 16S ribosomal RNA". It matches the Rfam family "Bacterial small subunit ribosomal RNA", at positions 509 to 807 of the family's 1533-position model. The record is from RNAcentral.